GGCGGCGAGUCCAAGUCCUUCUUGAACGGGGCCACAGCCCAUAGAGGGUGCCAGGCCCGUAGCGGCCGCUGCCGAUCGCGGGAGGAUCUCUCCUUAGAGUCGGGUUGCUUGAGAGUGCAGCCCUAAGUGGGUGGUAAACUCCAUCUAAGGCUAAAUAUAACCACGAGACCGAUAGCGAACAAGUACCGUGAGGGAAAGUUGAAAAGCACUUUGAAGAGAGAGUUCAAGAGUACGUGAAACCGUUCAGGGGUAAACCUGAGAAACCCGAAAGGUCGAAAGGGGAAAUUCAUUCGCGUUUCGGUCGUCGGUGACGGGUGGUCGUGCGACGGACGGCGUUCGCUCGUCGUCCGCGCCCUCCGUUCGUUCCAUAUCGACGUCGAACGCGUGCACUUUUCCCCUAGUAGGACGUCGCGAUCCGUUGGGUGUCGGAUUACGGUCCGCGGUGGAGCCCGCGUGCGGUCGUUUCGGCGGCAAGCGCGCGGACCCGCGGUCUCCCAUCCGACUCGCUCGACGGUAUACAGAUGGCGCGGGGCCGCUAUAUUUUACACAAUUAGCGUC
RNAcentral lists this ribosomal RNA (558 nucleotides) under Spermophagus bifidus. RNAcentral describes it as "eukaryotic LSU rRNA". It matches the Rfam family "Eukaryotic large subunit ribosomal RNA", at positions 171 to 628 of the family's 3401-position model. The record is from RNAcentral. Lineage: Eukaryota; Metazoa; Arthropoda; Insecta; Coleoptera; Chrysomelidae.